UUUAUAGGCUGCGGACAUAACAAGGCUGGUAUCUGAUGUAAGUGUCUCCGUGGCUGAAGAAGCACUAGAGCAACUCAAGAACCGGGUUACUUCACUGGAAAGAGAGUUGCAGGAUGCCAAAUUCAAGAAUAGAAUUACCAAUGAAAGAAUUCGAUUGUCCGAGCUCAUGCCACAAACCUCACCGUAUAGCUCAAGAGCAGACGAGAACUGUCAAACUCCAAAUAGAGUUUCUCAGACUCCAUUUCUUUCUGUUUUGGAUAGAUAAUGCUGAUUUACAGAUUCAUUUCAGAGAAGAGAUCAAGAUGAAUGGGUUAGCCUUUUGCUAGCAGUUGCAAUUUUUUUUUUUAAAAAAAAAUUUUGGAAAGAGAAAUAGCAGUUGCAAAUUUGCGUUCAGCUAGUGUUGUUUGGCUGUAAAUUGAUUAUUUCUUAUUUGUAUAUUUUUUUUCAUCAAAAAUAUAUAUAUUCAAUAGAAUCUGUAUUUUGCUAAUCUACACCUUGUAAAUACGGUACAGUAAAUUAUAGGGGCGAUAAGGUCUGUAAUGUUCUUGCAAUUUAGUAAUUUGAAUUUUUUUUCAUAA
Molecule: non-coding RNA, 578 nt
Organism: Camellia sinensis
Lineage: Eukaryota; Viridiplantae; Streptophyta; Magnoliopsida; Ericales; Theaceae
Source: RefSeq, a predicted model, not a curated record